GAAACGCGAUAUUUAGUGCGAAUUGCAGAAUUCAGUGAAUCAUCAAAACUUUGAACGCAAGUUGCGCUCUUGGGAUAUUCCUGGGAGCAUGCCUCUUUCAGUGUCGGCAACCCAUCCAACUAUCAAUAGUUGGGACAUGUGUGUUUUUCGAGUGGAAUCACAUUGAGCUGAACGCUUGGUACGUUUGUCGAGUUGAGCCAGUGUGGUGAAUGGAGACAGCUUGUUUGUCAAUGUAAACUGCACCAGAUUCAAUUCGAUGGACGAGUCAUACCGGGUAUGCAGUACGCCCUCAAAAAGUGUACAACGCCUGAACAUAGACCUGAGAGAGGUAAGAUUACCCGCUUGACUUAA
RNAcentral lists this unclassified non-coding RNA (351 nucleotides) under uncultured fungus. RNAcentral describes it as "sequence contains ITS1". The stretch from base 1 to 106 matches the Rfam family "5.8S ribosomal RNA", at positions 50 to 154 of the family's 154-position model. Lineage: Eukaryota; Fungi. The record is from RNAcentral.